This 253-nucleotide ribosomal RNA is filed under the name uncultured bacterium. RNAcentral describes it as "partial 16S ribosomal RNA". It matches the Rfam family "Bacterial small subunit ribosomal RNA", at positions 524 to 776 of the family's 1533-position model. The record is from RNAcentral.
UACAGAGGUCUCAAGCGUUGUUCGGAAUGACUGGGCGUAAAGCGUGUGUAGGCGGACGGGCAAGUACCUUGUGAAAUCCCACGGCUCAACCGUGGAACUGCUGGGUAUACUGCCUGUCUUGAGUCAUCUAGGGGCGAGCGGAACAAAUGGUGGAGCGGUGAAAUGCGUAGAUAUCAUUUGGAACGCCAAUGGUGAAAACAGCUCGCUGGGGAUGUACUGACGCUGAGACACGAAAGCCAGGGGAGCAAACGGG